This 80-nucleotide transfer RNA is filed under the name Candidatus Rokuibacteriota bacterium. RNAcentral describes it as "Candidatus Rokubacteria bacterium tRNA-Glu". Lineage: Bacteria; Candidatus Rokuibacteriota. The record is from RNAcentral.
GGUCCUACGUACGCGCCGGUAAGCGGCGGUGCGGCCCUCUCAAGGCUGAAACACGGGUUCGAAUCCCGUUGGGGCCACCA